UUGGAGGUAAUUAUGCUGACCAUCUUCCUUUUCUCAGGAGGGCCUGGUGUGCAAUGGAGGUAGUAUAUGUAACCUUUUGCUUGUAUGGGUUGCUCUAAGGGACAUUACUUUCUGAU
This 116-nucleotide small nucleolar RNA is filed under the name Otolemur garnettii (small-eared galago). RNAcentral describes it as "Small nucleolar RNA SNORA70". It matches the Rfam family "Small nucleolar RNA SNORA70". Rfam says of the family: snoRNA U70 seems to be exclusive to mammals and is a member of the H/ACA class of snoRNA which contain H (ANANNA) and ACA box motifs. H/ACA box snoRNAs are involved in the conversion of uridines to pseudouridines (5-ribosyluracil) a constituent of structural RNAs (transfer, ribosomal, small nuclear, and small nucleolar). Lineage: Eukaryota; Metazoa; Chordata; Mammalia; Primates; Galagidae. The record is from Rfam by way of RNAcentral.